Molecule: ribosomal RNA, 520 nt
Filed under: uncultured Scutellospora
Lineage: Eukaryota; Fungi; Glomeromycota; Glomeromycetes; Diversisporales; Gigasporaceae
Description: SSU rRNA
Rfam family: Eukaryotic small subunit ribosomal RNA
Source: RNAcentral
AGCAGCCGCGGUAAUUCCAGCUCCAAUAGCGUAUAUUAAAGUUGUUGCAGUUAAAAAGCUCGUAGUUGAAUUUCGGGGUUCUACCGUUGGUCGGGCUAUUGUCUGUACUGGCGUGUAGAAUUUCUACCUUCUGGGGAACCACCAUGUUAUUAAUUUAGCGUGACGGGAAACCAGGACCUUUACCUUGAAAAAAUUAGAGUGUUCAAAGCAGGCUUACGCCUGAAUACAUUAGCAUGGAAUAAUAAAAUAGGACGGUGGUCCUGUUUUGUUGGUUUCUGAAUCACCGUAAUGAUUAAUAGGGAUAGUUGGGGGCAUUAGUAUUCAAUUGUCAGAGGUGAAAUUCUUGGAUUUUAUUGAAGACUAACUUCUGCGAAAGCAUUUGCCAAGGAUGUUUCAUUAUCAAGAACGAAGUUAGGGGAUCGAAGACGAUCAGAUACCGUCGUAGUCUUAACCAUAAACUAUGACCGACUAGGGAUCGGACGAUAGUUAAAUAUUAUUGUACUCGUUCGGCGUCCGUUAC